AAACUUUUAACAACGGAUCUCUUGGUUCUGGCAUCGAUGAAGAACGCAGCGAAAUGCGAUAAGUAAUGUGAAUUGCAGAAUUCAGUGAAUCAUCGAAUCUUUGAACGCACAUUGCGCCCCCUGGUAUUCCGGGGGGCAUGCCUGUUCGAGCGUCAUUA
This 158-nucleotide ribosomal RNA is filed under the name fungal sp. TRN232. Its description in RNAcentral is "5.8S ribosomal RNA". It matches the Rfam family "5.8S ribosomal RNA". From Rfam's summary of the family: 5.8S ribosomal RNA (5.8S rRNA) is a component of the large subunit of the eukaryotic ribosome. It is transcribed by RNA polymerase I as part of the 45S precursor that also contains 18S and 28S rRNA. RNAcentral also lists the same sequence under 1 other name. Lineage: Eukaryota; Fungi. The record is from RNAcentral.